This 364-nucleotide unclassified non-coding RNA is filed under the name soil metagenome. Its description in RNAcentral is "partial contains 5.8S ribosomal RNA, internal transcribed spacer 2, and large subunit ribosomal RNA". The stretch from base 1 to 120 matches the Rfam family "5.8S ribosomal RNA", at positions 35 to 154 of the family's 154-position model. The record is from RNAcentral.
GAUGAAGAACGCAGCGAAAUGCGAUAAGUAAUGUGAAUUGCAGAAUUCAGUGAAUCAUCGAAUCUUUGAACGCACAUUGCGCCCGCCAGCAUUCUGGCGGGCAUGCCUGUUCGAGCGUCAUUUCAACCCUCGCAGCCCAUCUGGGCAGCGGUGUUGGGGACCGGCACCACCGGCGAAGCCCUUAGGGGCCCAGCCGGCGCCGCCCCCGAAAUACAGUGGCGGUCUCGCUGCAGCCUCCCUUGCGUAGUAGCACACCUCGCACCGGAGCGCAGCGCGGCCACGCCGUAAAACCCCCGACUUUCUGAGUUUGACCUCGAAUCAGGUAGGAAUACCCGCUGAACUUAAGCAUAUCAAUAGCGGAGGA